RNAcentral lists this ribosomal RNA (468 nucleotides) under uncultured bacterium. RNAcentral describes it as "partial 16S ribosomal RNA". It matches the Rfam family "Bacterial small subunit ribosomal RNA", at positions 28 to 507 of the family's 1533-position model. The record is from RNAcentral.
GACGAACGCUGGCGGCGUGCUUAACACAUGCAAGUCGAACGGAAAGGCCCUGCGUUUGUGGGGUGCUCGAGUGGCGAACGGGUGAGUAACACGUGAGUAACCUGCCCUUGACUUUGGGAUAACUUCAGGAAACUGGGGCUAAUACCGGAUAGGAGCUCCUGCUGCAUGGUGGGGGUUGGAAAGUUUCGGCGGUUGGGGAUGGACUCGCGGCUUAUCAGCUUGUUGGUGGGGUAGUGGCUUACCAAGGCUUUGACGGGUAGCCGGCCUGAGAGGGUGACCGGCCACAUUGGGACUGAGAGACGGCCCAGACUCCUACGGGAGGCAGCAGUGGGGAAUAGUGCACAAUGGGCGGAAGCCUGAUGCAGCAACGCCGCGUGCGGGAUGACGGCCUUCGGGUUGUAAACCGCUUUCGCCUGUGACGAAGCGUGAGUGACGGUAAUGGGUAAAGAAGCACCGGCUAACUACGUG